Molecule: ribosomal RNA, 942 nt
Filed under: archaeon enrichment culture clone C3-1C-A
Lineage: Archaea
Description: bacterial SSU rRNA
Rfam family: Archaeal small subunit ribosomal RNA
Source: RNAcentral
UCCGGUUGAUCCUGCCGGACCCCACUGCUAUCGGGAUAAGGACUAAGACAUGCUAGUCGUGUGCCUCAGCCAAAACGAGGCACGGCGCACAGCUCAGUAACACGUGGCUAACCUGCCCUUAGAACGAGAAUAACCCCGGGAAACUGGGGCUAAUGCUCGAUAGGUGAAGAACUCUGGAAUGAGUCUUCACUUAAAAGAGUCUGCGUUAUGCUCGUAGAUUUCGCUUAAGGAUGGGGCCGCGACCGAUCAGGUUGUUGGUGAGGUAAUGGCUCACCAAGCCUUUUACCGGUGCGGGCCGUGAGAGCGGGAGCCCGGAGAUGGGCACUGAGACAAGGGCCCAGGCCCUACGGGGCGCAGCAGUCGCGAAAACUUUGCAAUACACGAAAGUGUGACAGGGCUAUCCCGAGUGCCAUCCGCUGAGGAAGGCUUUUACCCAGUCUAGAACGCUGGGGGAAUAAGGAGAGGGCAAGUCUGGUGUCAGCCGCCGCGGUAAUACCAGCUCUCCGAGUGGUGUGGAUGUUUAUUGGGCCUAAGCAUCCGUAGCUGGCUAAGUUAGUCCCCUGUUAAAUCCAACGAAUUAAUCGUUGGAUCGCGGGGGAUACUGCUCGGCUAGGGGACGAGAGAGGCAGACGGUAUUUCCGGGGUAGGGGUGAAAUCCUAUAAUCCCGGGAAGACCACCAGUGGCGAAGGCUGUCUGCUAGAACGCGCCCGACGGUGAGGGAUGAAAGCUGGGGGAGCGAACCGGAUUAGAUACCCGGGUAGUCCCAGCUGUAAACGAUGCAGGCUAGGUGUUUGGACGGCCACGUGCCGUUUCUAGUGCCGCAGGGAAGCUGUUUAAGCCUGCCGCCUGGGGAGUACGAUCGCAAGAUUGAAACUUAAAGGAAUUGGCGGGGGAGCACCACAAGGGGUGAAGCUUGCGGUUUAAUUGGAGUCAACGCCGGA